CUUGUAGAGCCUACAGACAAGCACACAUCAACGUGCCCUUGCCCGCUCCUAUCUCAGAAUCCCAUCUAUUCUCUUCUCUCUCCGCCUCCUCCCCAUCCCAUCUCUCAAUCCACCCGACAAGAUGACUGAGAAAUCCAUGGAUUUGCCAUAGGAAUGCUAGGAAUUAGUUUUCACUUCCCUUGACCACCAUCGUCACUUUGAAUCCCUCUCAUUAGUCUCCACUUUGUUCCUCUCUAUCACCGAUCAGCUCCGCUGUACCCUAACAAUCUCUUCCCAGGUUGUUCCUUUGCUUCCCCGUUUUCUCGAAAGAUUCCCAAAUCUGAAAGCAAUCGAAAUUCGAGAAUUCGAGGGUGACCUUAAUUCCCUUCUCUAUCUAAUCUCUAAAUCUAGGUUGGACCUCAAAACCCUUGGUUUCUCAAACCAAAGUCACUUUCCCUUAGUUGGUUCGAGGGAAUUGGGUUGAGAAUGAGGAAUCUGAGGAAAUUGAAUUGCUCAAAGCUAGGUCAUUUUAAAGAUAGUGAUCUAUUUGUAAUUGGAACUUGUUUUCCAUUGCUUGAAGAUCUUGAUAUUAGUUUUCCCCAGUAUAAUUCUCGUUUUAAUCCUAAUGGGUCUUUGGAUUUGCAAUCUUUCUCCGGGGUUGUAACGGAUGAAGGGAUUGUUGAUUUGGCAUUGAAGCUCAAUAAGCUAUGAAAGAUCGACUUUUCUGGAUGCUAUAGUAGCUAGGAGGGAGGAGCUAACACAAAUCACACCCAACAACAUCAAUUAGAACCCACUUUACUUGAAUGUUGUCGAAGGCGGCGAGAAGAGACGAAAAGUGUAUGGUCUUAGAUCUGAAUCAUCUACCUUUUACCCUUUAAUUGGAGCAUCUUCGAGUCGGGCGUUUACAUUAAGCUCUAGUCCAAAUGCUGCCUUAUAACAACGAAUAAAAGAGUUGGAGAAACAGCUUGAGAAUGAGAGGCAAGCUAUGAUAGAUCGUAUUGAUCAAUUGAAAUUGCAAAUGGAGUUGCAAAUGGAGACAAAUAUGGAACGUAUGAGAAGCUCUAUGAUGGAGGAGGUGAUGAGACUAGUCUGAGGUCUACCAACACCUCCAUCUCCAUAAAAUUGUGGGUUUUAAAUUUUAUAUUUGACUUAUUGGAUUUUAGUAUGUUUUAUUUACAGAUAUGGAUUUUAUAUUUAAUUUGAUACAUUUAGUAAUUAUUUUUA
Hevea brasiliensis (rubber tree) is the source of this 1203-nucleotide long non-coding RNA. RefSeq lists it as uncharacterized. NCBI's taxonomy places the organism in Eukaryota, Viridiplantae, Streptophyta, Magnoliopsida, Malpighiales, Euphorbiaceae. The record is from RefSeq and is a predicted model, not a curated record. The transcript has 2 exons.